Molecule: ribosomal RNA, 119 nt
Filed under: Pteropus alecto (black flying fox)
Lineage: Eukaryota; Metazoa; Chordata; Mammalia; Chiroptera; Pteropodidae
Source: RNAcentral
GUCUAUGGCCAUGCCACCCUGAACAAGCCUGAUCCCAUCUGAUCUCGGAAGCUAAGCAGGAUCGUGUCUGGCUAGUACUUGGAUGGGAGACCACCUAGGAAGACUAGGUGCUGUAGGCA